This 359-nucleotide ribosomal RNA is filed under the name uncultured bacterium. RNAcentral's name for it is "bacterial SSU rRNA". It matches the Rfam family "Bacterial small subunit ribosomal RNA", at positions 67 to 422 of the family's 1533-position model. The record is from RNAcentral.
CGAGAAAAGGGGGGCAACUCCCUGAGUACAGCGGCGCACGGGUGAGUAACACGUGGGUAAUCUGCCCUGGAGUGGGGAAUAACACCGGGAAACCGGUGCUAAUACCGCAUACGAUCACGAGGUCUGCGGACUUUGUGAUGAAAGGAGCAAUUCGCUCUAGGAGGAGCCCGCGGCUGAUUAGCUAGUUGGUGAGGUAACGGCUCACCAAGGCAACGAUCAGUAUCCGGUCUGAGAGGACGGUCGGACACACUGGAACUGAGACACGGUCCAGACUCCUACGGGAGGCAGCAGUGGGGAAUAUUGGACAAUGGGGGCAACCCUGAUCCAGCCAUGCCGCGUGUGUGAAGAAGGCCUUCGGG